UGGUGUUGUUGUGAUCUUGUGCAAAUUCACAGCUGACGCAACCAAUGCUCUCCUCGAGUCUGGAGGACAGAUUCUCAGUGCGGAUGUGGCUGGAUCUUGUGGCUGGAGAGUGUGCUAGCUGCAACCUAUGACUGCCUUUUGCUCGAAUCGUUAAACCUUUUUACCCGGUUUAUUUCCUCGCUUGUUUUACUUUUCGGGAACCGAAAGUUUGUUAGUUCCACAUUUAUUACACGUCGUUAUUUUUCUGCUGUCUCGCCAAGCUGCAGUCCGUAUGUUGAGAUGGGAGGUCUUGGCCUAAGAAUCUGCCUAUAUACUGUGACGUGAGGGAAUCUGCACACGUGAGCAACAGAGGGUGAUCUUCAGUAAGAAGCUGCACAGAACUGUGAUGGGAUCUUUCACGUCCUCCUGAACAGGCAGACAAGGGCCUUGGCUUCGUUUGUCGUCGGAAGGACAACACCUGUAACAACGCAUUCCCCCGGCACUGCACUGGAGUGUUAGCCUCCUCUUGGCUCAAAUUCCCAACCCGGAGCUUGAAAUCCACAACCUUCUAACUCUGUUGGUUGCGAGAGUGCCAGGCUGACCUACGAAGCCUCUGAAAGUGAUGCAGUGUUGAUGGGCAGAAACUGUUGAGAAAUGGCAAAACUGGAAAUGUCACAGCAAUGGGACCAGAAGUCUAGGCUGAGAGUGCGGAAAGGGUUUGUGAGAGACUAGUAAUGGAUAAUAAUAAGUUAAAGUGGGGUGGCCCGCAAACCGCUUCUGCACCCAGUAGCACUUUAUACUAUAUCCUGUGAAGCACUUUGAGACGUCUCGACGAUGUGAUCACAAUGAAGUUCUUGUAACUCGAUACAUCAGUGAUGAGUAUUCACUUGUGUACUAUGAAAUUGUAUAUUAAAAGACAACUUUUUUUCCCCC
Molecule: long non-coding RNA, 912 nt
Organism: Callorhinchus milii (elephant shark)
Lineage: Eukaryota; Metazoa; Chordata; Chondrichthyes; Chimaeriformes; Callorhinchidae
Exons: 2
Source: RefSeq, a predicted model, not a curated record